Molecule: ribosomal RNA, 253 nt
Filed under: uncultured bacterium
Lineage: Bacteria
Description: partial 16S ribosomal RNA
Rfam family: Bacterial small subunit ribosomal RNA
Source: RNAcentral
UACGGAGGGGGCUAGCAUUGUUCGGAAUUACUGGGCGUAAAGCGCACGUAGGCGGCUUUGUAAGUUAGAGGUGAAAGCCCAGGGCUUAACCCUGGAAUUGCCUUUAAGACUGCAUCGCUAGAAUCGUGGAGAGGUGAGUGGAAUUCCGAGUGUAGAGGUGAAAUUCGUAGAUAUUCGGAAGAACACCAGUGGCGAAGGCGACUCACUGGACACGUAUUGACGCUGAGGUGCGAAAGCGUGGGGAGCAAACAGG